Long non-coding RNA from Mobula hypostoma (lesser devil ray), 1610 nucleotides. RefSeq lists it as uncharacterized. The transcript is spliced from 3 exons. NCBI's taxonomy places the organism in Eukaryota, Metazoa, Chordata, Chondrichthyes, Myliobatiformes, Myliobatidae. The record is from RefSeq and is a predicted model, not a curated record.
AGCUGUUCCUGAAUCACUGAGUGUGUGGUUUCAGGCUCCUGUACCUCCUCCCUGAUGGUAGCAAUGAGAAGAGGGCAUUUCCUGGGUGAUGGGGGUCCUUAAUGAUGGAUGCCACCUUUCUGAGGCAGCGCUGCUUGAAGAUGCCCUGGAUACUACAGAGGCUGGUGCCCAUGCUGGAGCUGACUGAGUUGACAACUCUCUGCAGCUUACUGUGAUUCUGUGCAAUAGCCCCCACCCCUCCGCCCCCCACCCCACCAUACCAGACGGUGAUGCAGCCAGGUAGAAUGUUCUCCAUGGGUUGAGUGAAGAGACCAAUAAAAUGGCAUCUGCUGUGGACCUGUUGCUCCAGCAGGUAACCUGGAGCGGACCCAAGGCACCACUCGGGAGGGAGUUGAUAUGUUUCAUCACCAACCUCUCAAAGCACUUCAUCACGGUGGAUGUCAGUGCUAUUGGACGACAGUCACUGAGGCAGGUCACCACGUUCUUCUUGGGCACCGGUGUAAUGGAAGCCUGCUUGAAGCGAGUGGGGUGGUGGAGGCUGUCGUAUUGGAUAUAUUAAAGAUGCAAAUCGAUGAAUAUUUGAAAGAUCGAGGAAUUGAGGGUGAUGGGGAACUGGCACCAAAGAGGAGCUGAGGCCAGGUUCAGGAACAGCAACUUCCCUUCAGCCAGUCGGUUCCUGAACCAACCAGCACAACCCUAAUCACCCCCUCAGUACACCAUACUGUGACCACUUUGAUCUCUUUGGACUACAAUGAGCUAUCGUUUCUUUCCUUUGUUCAAAGUUCAAAGUAAGUUUUAUUAUCAAAGUAUACCUAUGUCAAAACAUACAACCCUGAGAUUAAUACUGAGGGCAUACUGAGCAAAUCUGUUGAAUAGUAACUACAACAGGAUCAAUGAAAGAUCAGAGCAACACACACAAAAUGCUGGAGGAACUCAGCAGGCCGGGUAGCAUCUGUUAAAAAAAAGAUACAGUCGAUGUUUCGGGCCAAAACGUAUCUGCCUCUACCAUCACCUACGGCAGUCCAUUACAUGCAUCCACCGUUCUCUGUGUAAAGAACUUACCUCUGGCAUCCCCUCCCCAUACUCUCCUCCAAACACCUUUAAGGUCCUGAAGAAGGGUCUCAGCCUGAAAUGUCGAUUGUUCACUCCUUUCCAUAGAUGCUGCCUGGCCUGCUGAGUUCAUGAGUGUUUUGUGUGAGUUCCUUAAAAUGAUGCCCCCUUGUAUUAAUUCUGUUAUUUCUUGUGAAAUUUGUGUGUAAUUUGUGGUUAUGCUUUUCUUCUGAAUAGUGCAUACCUGCUGCUCUGUGCCCGAGAUGCCCCUGCUUGUAAGUUUCUCGUUGCACCUGUGUGCACGUGGACUUUCGCAUGUGACAAUAAACUCGAUCUUCGCUUGAUCAUAUUGAACAGUCUUGAAGGGCCGAGUGGCCGAAUGGUGCUCCUGGAAUGUGUUCCCAGCCAUCAGUCCACAGUCCACAACUCCAUCAUUAUGUGCUGUAUCGUAUGAUAUGAGCGAUCAUGGUCUUUCCAUAACCAUCAUUGCUCUUGGCAAAUUUUUCUACAGAAGUGGUUUGCCAUUGCCUCCUUUUGGGCAGUGUCUUUACAAGACGGGU